RNAcentral lists this ribosomal RNA (465 nucleotides) under uncultured ciliate. RNAcentral describes it as "SSU rRNA". It matches the Rfam family "Eukaryotic small subunit ribosomal RNA". The record is from RNAcentral. Lineage: Eukaryota; Ciliophora.
AUUUGUCUGGUUAAUUCCGAUAACGAACGAGACCUUAACCUGCUAACUAGAUCCAAUUAUCCGAUUUUUGCGAUCUUCUUAGAGGGACUAUGUAAUAAAAAUACAUGGAAGUUUGAGGCAAUAACAGGUCAGUGAUGCCCUUAUAUGUCCUGGGCUGCACGCGUGCUACACUGAUGCAUACAACAAGUGCCUAACCAGACAUGGUAUGGUAAUCUCUAAUAUGCAUCGUGAUGGGGAUAGAUCUUUGCAAUUAUAGAUCUUGAACGAGGAAUUCCUAGUAAGUGCAAGUCAUCAUCUUGCAUUGAUUAUGUCCCUGCCCUUUGUACACACCGCCCGUCGCUCCUACCGAUACCGGGUGAUCCGGUGAACCUUUUGGACUCAUUUGGGAAAGAUAAGUAAACCAUAUCACCUAGAGGAAGGAGAAGUCGUAACAAGGUUUCCGUAGGUGAACCUGCRGAAGGAUCA